Molecule: ribosomal RNA, 263 nt
Filed under: uncultured bacterium
Lineage: Bacteria
Description: partial 16S ribosomal RNA
Rfam family: Bacterial small subunit ribosomal RNA
Source: RNAcentral
GUCCUUGCUGUAAACGAUGUAUACUUGAUGUAAUUGGGCUCAACCCUAAUUGUGUCGUAGCUAACGCGAUAAGUAUACCGCCUGAGGAGUACGCUCGCAAGGGUGAAACUCAAAAGAAUUGACGGGGGCCCGCACAAGCAGUGGAGCAUGUGGUUUAAUUCGAUGCAACGCGAAGAACCUUACCCAGGUUUGACAUACAGAGGACGAUAGCAGAAAUGUUAUUUCCCGAAAGGGUCUUUGUACAGGUGCUGCAUGGCUGUCGU